UGUCCUAAAGAAGACCACCUUGUCUUGGCUUAGGACACACUAGAAGCAAUGCUAGAAAGAAAAAAACUAAUGUAAGAAAGAAAGAAGAGAGGAGUGGGGUGGAGUUGGAAUGAUGAAACCCAUGGAGUGCUAACCUAUUUAUAAUAGGUGUAGGGAUGCAUCUCCAAGAGAUGCAUCCCAUCCACACAUCUUCUCAUGAAAGGGCAUCAUCUAAAGGGCCAUAUCAAAUAAGAUGAGGUGCAGAUCAAGUGAGGAGGUAUAUCAAAUGAUAUGUCCUUUCAUGUGGUGCCAUAUUUUGACCAAGUCAACAUCACAUGCUAAUCACAUGUCCAUCACGCCUCACCUCUUGAUCUUUCAUGAUGAUGAUCCAAGGGCUCCAAUGCAAGGCGCCAUUCACUUGACCCAUUAUAUCUUCAUUCAAUGGUGGGAUUAAGAUCCAAUGGUCAAUUAUGAUAGCCAUCCUCUAAUCCAAUCCAAUUGGGUUAAACCAACUCUCCAUUAUGUCUUCAUCCAACGGUAGAUCAAGAUCUAACGGUCUAGAUUGAAUGAUUUAUUAAAUCUAAUCUAAUUAGACCCAAAUCAAGCCAAUUAGGUGCCAAAUCUUGGCUAACCCAUAUUAGAACUUGAUCUAAUCAAAUUAGAUCAAUUAAGAAUCGGAUUCGAAU
RNAcentral lists this long non-coding RNA (665 nucleotides) under Phoenix dactylifera (date palm). RNAcentral's name for it is "long non-coding RNA (PDAC_LNC013045)". Lineage: Eukaryota; Viridiplantae; Streptophyta; Magnoliopsida; Arecales; Arecaceae. The record is from RNAcentral.